Molecule: non-coding RNA, 730 nt
Organism: Pelobates cultripes (western spadefoot toad)
Lineage: Eukaryota; Metazoa; Chordata; Amphibia; Anura; Pelobatidae
Source: the annotation of a GenBank genome assembly
UUCCUGCUUACCCUCAACAUAGAGCUUCAUCUCAUGGGUGGGGGGAAACGGCUGUAUCUACCCUGGGGAUUGCUAUAUCACUAUACUCCUCUGGGUUAUAAUCACAUGCUCUUGUAAGAGCAGCCUGCUACACUCUCUGGAGUAGUAGAGGUCUACCCACUGGAAGCUGGAUCCUGGUCUUGGGUCCAGGGUGGAUGGAGGAUGGCAAGACCCCAGCCAAGCUGUAACGCUGGAAGUGGGGACUACGGUGCUGAUGGUGUCUGGUGUGGUGCUUGUGGUAUUCGGUAAGCACUAGGAAGCAGCGACUGGUGGAGGCACCCAGUCGGGGUGCCAGGCGGUCUGUCAUACAGUGUAUUGACUGAAUCUAUACCAUGUUCUGAUUGUGAUUGGAAAGCAGUGGAAGGAAAACAGUUAUGCACUUAAUGUCUUCAGAAGGUAGCCGCUUCAAUAUCACCUAUACCUGCAAAGCCACAUGACAUGCUAGCAUGACUUACAAAGGAAGUUCCAAGGUAUUUCAGAAGCCUUAGAGGUAAGAAAAAAAGAGGCCAGACGUUACCCUGUGGAGGAAGGUACUUGCACCCCCUGGACUACAAAACCUAAGGUGGAUGCACCUAUUUCCAGGGUAGCCUGUGGGAUGAUGCUAUCGCUUGACAACUCGGCUUUUUUACGCAAGCCUAUGUAUCAAAACUGGACGUAGACCUGUCCAAAUCUUUACUCCUGCCAAUGCAGG